Molecule: transfer RNA, 64 nt
Filed under: Wallacidia oculata
Lineage: Eukaryota; Metazoa; Arthropoda; Insecta; Hymenoptera; Mutillidae
Description: tRNA-Leu
Source: RNAcentral
AUUAUUUUGGCAGAUUAGUGUGUUAAAUUUAGAAUUUAAUUAUGUUUAUAUUAAACAAAUAAUA